RNAcentral lists this transfer RNA (75 nucleotides) under Vibrio cholerae. RNAcentral's name for it is "tRNA-OTHER". It matches the Rfam family "tRNA". From Rfam's summary of the family: Transfer RNA (tRNA) molecules are approximately 80 nucleotides in length. Lineage: Bacteria; Pseudomonadati; Pseudomonadota; Gammaproteobacteria; Vibrionales; Vibrionaceae. The record is from RNAcentral.
CGGACUGUAGCGCAGCUUGGUAGCGCACCGUCAUGGGUGUCGGGGUCGGAGGUUCAAAUCCUCUCAGUCCGACCA